ACGCCUGUCUCAUCCACUCUCAACUUCUGUGCACUUUUCAUAGGCCGGCUUGUGGGUGCGUUCGCGCACUUGUAGGUGUCGGGCUUAUGCUUUAUUACAAACGAUUCAGUUUUAGAAUGUCAUACUUUGCUAUAACGCAAUUUAUAUACAACUUUCAGCAACGGAUCUCUUGGCUCUCGCAUCGAUGAAGAACGCAGCGAAAUGCGAUAAGUAAUGUGAAUUGCAGAAUUCAGUGAAUCAUCGAAUCUUUGAACGCACCUUGCGCUCCUUGGUAUUCCGAGGAGCAUGCCUGUUUGAGUCUCAUGGAAUUCUCAACCUUCGGCUUCAUUGACGAAGGCUUGGACUUGGAGGUCGUGCCGGCUCUCGUAGUCGGCUCCUCUGAAAUGCAUUAGUGCGAACGUUACCAGCCGCUUCAGCGUGAUAAUUAUCUGCGUUGCUGCGGAGGGUAUUCUAGUGUUCACGCUUCUAACCGUCUUCGGACAAAUUUCUGAACUCUGAGCUCAAAUCAGGUAGGACUACCCGCUGAACUUAAGCA
This 535-nucleotide ribosomal RNA is filed under the name Bjerkandera adusta. RNAcentral's name for it is "eukaryotic LSU rRNA". The stretch from base 150 to 303 matches the Rfam family "5.8S ribosomal RNA". The record is from RNAcentral. Lineage: Eukaryota; Fungi; Basidiomycota; Agaricomycetes; Polyporales; Phanerochaetaceae.